CUUUCCUGGGACAUGAAGCAAGGCACUGAAGCAUGAGAUGAAGUUGAAUUAUUCAGCAAUCCAAUGACCCUAACAAAGAUCUGGGGAGAGAAAGCAAGUUAGGAUUUCUGAGACCAACACCAUGAGGUCUUUGCUUCAUCAGAAUGACAUUUUAGAGAACCAAAGUGAGGAAAUGUGAUUGAAAAUGAGCCGAUUUUAUUCUGGUUGAAAUAUA
RNAcentral lists this long non-coding RNA (214 nucleotides) under Phasianus colchicus (ring-necked pheasant). Its description in RNAcentral is "lncRNA (ENSPCLG00000013574.1)". The record is from RNAcentral. Lineage: Eukaryota; Metazoa; Chordata; Aves; Galliformes; Phasianidae.